CUUCCUCAUAACUGACUGAGUCUCUGCUUUUUACAGCCUGUACAUUUAACAAUUUCCUGCGUAUAAUUCUUCUGAGGCAACAAAACCUUUUGAGCUUAAACAAGCAAAAAGCGGGAGGGGAAGAAGCAUGCCAAUGCUGACAGGCUGAUAGCACUGAUUUGAGCAUAAGCCUGCCAUCAUCAGACACUGCUGCUAACUAGCACAGAGAAGGCAAAGGAAGAGGGAAACAAAGAGACCAUUGUUAAAAGAAAGCAAGCAUAAAUAAAUCGAGUUUUCCUGCUGUACUUCUAAAAACUAGACAAAAAGCGCUUUCUACUCUAAAAGGAACCAUUUUUAUUAUGAAUUGUUCAUUCCAAGGGGCCUAUUGUUCUGCCGAUGAACACGUGUAAUUUUCACUUACAUUUAUGCAUGUGCAGUGAGAGAGGCUAUACCACAAUGUGUUGAAGACAUCCUAGCCGCAGAGACGCUGCAUAUAUCAUAGCAUUUAUCUAUCUAUAGAAUCACCUGCCACUGUAGUUUCCGACUAACUCCUCCAGCAUCUGGUCUUAUUUAUUGACAAAUUCCAAGGCAACGUUUUCAGGGAUUUAUAGAGACAGUGAGAACUAAUUGAAAAGGACAUGUAAAAGAAGACGUAUGUAUUUAUGCCAUCUGUGCUACCUCUUGCUGCGGCAGAGAAUGAUCUGUCUAUGGAGAAAACUACUUAGAAACCAAAGACACCUAAAACAUCGAUGGAAAGUACUGUAGACCUGAGUCAGGACAACCUGAAAUACAUGUGAGAGGAAAAAAGCCUAGGCAGAAGGUUUUGAAUAAAAAACA
This is a long non-coding RNA of Mauremys mutica (yellowpond turtle), 816 nucleotides long. RefSeq lists it as uncharacterized. The transcript is spliced from 3 exons. The record is from RefSeq and is a predicted model, not a curated record. NCBI's taxonomy places the organism in Eukaryota, Metazoa, Chordata, Testudines, Geoemydidae.